This 355-nucleotide ribosomal RNA is filed under the name Tetrastemma sp. U NEP-2021. RNAcentral's name for it is "partial large subunit ribosomal RNA". It matches the Rfam family "Bacterial large subunit ribosomal RNA", at positions 1933 to 2543 of the family's 2925-position model. The record is from RNAcentral. Lineage: Eukaryota; Metazoa; Nemertea; Enopla; Monostilifera; Tetrastemmatidae.
GCGGUAUCCUGACCGUGCAAAGGUAGCAUAAUCAUUUGCUUCAUAAUUGGGGGCUAGUAUGAAUGGGAUUACAAGACACUUACUUUAUUGGGAAGAAGAUAAUAAUUUGCUUUUUUAGUGAAGAAGCUAAAAUAUUCUUAUAGGACAAGAAGACCCUUUUGAGCUUUAUUGUUUUUUUAGUAUAAUACUUUUAGGCAAUUUGGUUGGGGCGACCGAGGAAGGCUUAAUCUUCCUUUAUUUAUAAUGAUCCAAAGUUUUUGAUUAUUAGAUUAAGUUACCAAAGGGAUAACAGCGUAAUUUUUUUUAAGAGUUCUUAUUAAAAAAAAAGAUUGGCACCUCGAUGUUGGCUUAGGAA